AACUUCUCUCUAGCCUCCCUAAACCCCUCCCAAGUCUACGGAACCUCCCUAGCACGAGAAGAAAGCCCCGGAACACCCGACGGCUUCAAGAAGAAAAGCUUUCGGCUUGGAAACGCUGCUCCAGCGAAGCCCGGUUUUUAAUAAAACUCGCUGUUUUGUCGAGGAAAAUUGUUUUGAGAUAACAAAGUGCUGUCUGAGUUCGGAAUCACCACCUAAUCAGGUGUUGAUAUGAAGUGACAUUACACUGAGAGAUUUAAAGAGAUGUAGAUCACUAGUGUAAAUAAUUGUAAGCUCUGUUUAUGCUUAUGUUUCUAUAUUAACGAUGACAUCCCAAACGUUUUAAAAUGAAAUAAAUAUGUUUCUUCGAAAAUGUUUUAAUAACGUAUUUACCAUGUUUUUCUGGGAACAAAUUCCGCAACAUUUUUAUAAAAUGAAGUACUCUGAUUUUUAUAAAGCAUAAACAACAUCGGUCUUUUCUGUCCGUGAAAAUGGGGAUGUCACAUCUAAUCACGUAUGAUUUAUGUAGACAUGAUUUAUUUUUGUAUUCUUGAUUCAAUAGUUGUUCUUUUACAACGUUAACCAUAUGUGAAUAUUGUACAUAUAAAUCAUAUGUGAUUAAAUACAUUUAAUCACAUUUGAUUAUGUGUAUCUAAUCACAUAUGAUUUAUGAGGACAUUGUUCGUUUUUGCUUUCUCGAUUCAAUAGUUGUUCUCAUUGUAUUUUAUCAAAUGUGAUUAUAGGUAUAAUCAUAUGUGAUUAAGUACAUGAGCACAACUAUUGAAUCGAGAAGGAAAAAGUGUAUCUUGUCCACCUUAAAUCAUAUAUGAUUAUAUACAUCUAAUCAUAUGUGAUUAAUUACACAAAAGCAAUUAUUCAGUCG
Lactuca sativa (garden lettuce) is the source of this 880-nucleotide non-coding RNA. Lineage: Eukaryota; Viridiplantae; Streptophyta; Magnoliopsida; Asterales; Asteraceae. The record is from RefSeq and is a predicted model, not a curated record.